AGUUACAUUGGCAGGUGUCA
This 20-nucleotide unclassified non-coding RNA is filed under the name Mus musculus (house mouse). RNAcentral's name for it is "oocyte_clustered_small_RNA1571". The record is from RNAcentral. Lineage: Eukaryota; Metazoa; Chordata; Mammalia; Rodentia; Muridae.